This 260-nucleotide ribosomal RNA is filed under the name uncultured bacterium. RNAcentral describes it as "partial 16S ribosomal RNA". It matches the Rfam family "Bacterial small subunit ribosomal RNA", at positions 526 to 779 of the family's 1533-position model. The record is from RNAcentral.
CGAAGGGGCGUAGCGUUGUUCGGAGUUUACUUGGGGCGUAAAGACGCACGUAGGCGGUUUGGUUUAAGUCAGAGGUGAAAUCCCGGAGCUCAACUCCGGAACUGCCUUUGAUACUGGCAAGCUAGAGUCCGGAAGAGGUAAGUGGAACUCCUAGUGUAGAGGUGGAAUUCGUAGAUAUUAGGAAGAACACCAGUGGCGAAGGCGGCUUACUGGUCCGGAACUGACGCUGAGGUGCGAAAGCGUGGGGAGCAAACAGGAUU